This 450-nucleotide ribosomal RNA is filed under the name uncultured bacterium. RNAcentral describes it as "partial 16S ribosomal RNA". It matches the Rfam family "Bacterial small subunit ribosomal RNA", at positions 338 to 795 of the family's 1533-position model. The record is from RNAcentral.
CCUACGGGUGGCUGCAGUAAGGAAUAUUGGUCAAUGGACGCAAGUCUGAACCAGCCAUGCCGCGUGAAGGAUGAAGGUCCUCUGGAUUGUAAACUUCUUUUAUAGGGGGCGAAAAAAGGUUUUUCUAAAUCACUUGACAGUACCCUAUGAAUAAGCACCGGCUAACUCCGUGCCAGCAGCCGCGGUAAUACGGAGGGUGCAAGCGUUACCGGGAUUCACUGGGGCGAAGGCGGGCAGAGGCGGGUGGGGUGAAAUCCUGGAGCUUAACUCCAGAACUGCCUUUGAUACUAUCUAUCUUGAAUAUGGUGGAGGUAAGCGGAAUAUGUCAUGUAGCGGUGAAAUGCAUAGAUAUGACAUAGAACACCUAUUGCGAAGGCAGCUUACUACGCCUAUAUUGACGCUGAGGCACGAAAGCGUGGGGAUCGAACAGGAUUAGAUACCCGAGUAGUC